GUAGCAAUACCAUGAGAGCGGCGCACGGGUGAGUAACGCGUACACGACCUUCCUCUGACAGGGGGAUAGCCCUGGGAAACUGGGAUUAAUACCGCAUAUUAUUCUGAUUAAUGAAGGAUUGGAAUGAAAGUUCAGGCGGUCAGAGAUGGGUGUGCGUCUGAUUAGCUAGUUGGUAGGGUAACGGCCUACCAAGGCGAUGAUCAGUAGGGGGCGUGAGAGCGUGAUCCCCCACACGGGUACUGGGACACGGACCCGACUCCUACGGGAGGCAGCAGUAAGGAAUAUUGGACAAUGGCCGAAAGGCUGAUCCAGCCAUCCAGCGUGCAGGAAGAAGGCCCUAUGGGUUGUAAACUGCUUUUAUCAGGGAAGAAACCUGUGGAUUUACUCCGCAGCUGACGGUACCUGAAGAGUAAGCACCGGCUAACUCCGUGCCAGCAGCCGCGGUAAUACGGAGGGUGCGAGCGUUAUCCGGAAUUACUGGGUUUAAAGGGUGCGUAGGCGGCUAUGUAAGUCAGGAGUGAAAGUUUGCGGCUCAACCGUAAAAUUGCUUUUGAUACUGCACAGCUGGAAUUAGGAUGAGGUCAGCGGAAUGUGGCAUGUAGCGGUGAAAUGCAUAGAUAUGCCAUAGAACACCAAUUGCGAAGGCAGCUGACUAGACCUGGAUUGACGCUGAGGCACGAAAGCGUGGGGAGCGAACAGGAUUAGAUACCCUGGUAGUCCACGCCCUAAACGAUGCUUACUCGACGUAUGAAGCUAGACUCUGUGCGUCCAAGGGAAACC
This 780-nucleotide ribosomal RNA is filed under the name uncultured bacterium. RNAcentral's name for it is "bacterial SSU rRNA". It matches the Rfam family "Bacterial small subunit ribosomal RNA", at positions 76 to 858 of the family's 1533-position model. The record is from RNAcentral.